AUGGAAGAUGAAGUAGACAGUGCUAAUGACAUGGUAGAACAAGAGGAAAGCACCGGCAGCGCCCCUAGCCCAUCGUUUUCAGGCAGAAACACGAAAAGGCUCCGGUCGAAAGUGUGGGACGAUUUCACACCCAUUUUCGUCGGAACUAAGCUUGCGAAGACUGAAUGCAUGCAUUGCCAGAAGGUUUACAACGUCGGCUCAAGUGGCACUAGCGGCCUGCUAAAGCACCAGGCCAAGUGCAGCGCUAGGGCCCAUAAAAGGCCAAUGCAAAACAAGUUUCAAGUGUUGCCGUCUACCCAGAAGAGCACCGUUGCAGCUGGCCCUGGUUUGACACAGAAGAAGCUCCCAUUCUCCCUCGCUAACCAGAAGAAAUGCUUGAGCACAGCCGAUGCAAUGCUUGAGAAGAAGGGUCUUGCUUUUCUUGACAUUCCCAGUGACAUGAAUCAGGAGGUUGGUCAGAAUUCAUCUCAUGAGGAACUCGCAGGACACGAGCAGAAGAAUCAGUUGGGUGCGAAACUUGCAGUGCCUGAGCAGGACAUUCUCACUAACAUGAAUCGGAAGAAUCCAGAGGUUGAUCAGGGUGAGCCACACAAAGAACUUGUCAGGAUAUUUGCUGCGCACGGGCACUCACCAUCGAUAAGAGCCCAUGAUAGGUUUAGGCCUAAGUUUGUUGCUUGCUUGAAUCCUAUGAUCAAGAUGCCAGAUGAAUAUGUCAUGUGCAGGUACUUUAAGGAACUGUUUGACAAAGAAAAGACCAAACUGAAGGAGAAGCUUGCCACUUUGCACAGUCGGGUUUGCUUGAGUGCUUAUGUGUGGCACUACGAUUUGCUCUCAGCGUUCUUAUGCCUGAGCGUUCAUUACAUUGAGGAUGAAUGGGAGAAGCAGAAAAAUAUCAUCAAAUUUCGUGCCGUCGAUCCUUCCUGCAGUGGAGAGGAAUUGAGCCAGUCUAUACUGUAUGCUAUUCACGAUUGGGGUCUUCGUGACAAGGUUUUCAGCAUUAUACUGGACGAUGCAUUUCUGGAUGAUUCAGUUACUUCGGAUGUCAAAGCUCGUCUCCAAAAAUGGAACCUUCGCUCGGCUAAUCGGAGCGUGUCUACAUCUGUAAAUCAGAGCUUGUUUGUGAUAAAGUAUGCAACUCAUCUAGUUAACCAUGUCAUACAGGUUGGCAAGGAUGAACUUGAGAAAGUCACGCAGAAGUCAACAAAGUGUUCUCAGCAUGCAAAGGGACACAUUCCUUCAGUAGUACAUUAUCCGAACCACAGAUAUGCACCGUCACCAGGAGGCUGGAAAAAUGCAAAGAAGAUUUGUAAGGUCAUGGAAGAUCUGCAACGACACAUGGAUGAAAUACACAAUUGUUGCAAUCCAGCUGACCUGUUUGACAAGGUGUGGGAUGUUAAGGAACUUUUGCAUCGUGAUGCUGAAUCCUAUAUCUGGGGAGAUAGUAAAAUUUCCAAAGAGCUGGAGAAGAUGCAAGAAAAGUUUAAGGAGCAGUGGAAACUCUGUUGCUUAAAUAUCUGCAUGCCUAUGAUCAUGGAUCCUUCAUACCGUUUGGAACGCAUCAAGUCCCGUCUCCGGUCUGAUGCAGGCAAUUAUCAUCUGGAGAAGCGGAGUUUUGAAGAUGAUAUGGAAGAUUAUAUUGAAGAAGUGCGUGCCAUAUUGCUCAACCUCUAUUGUGAAUAUUCUGAUCCGGUGGAAGACACUAGCUGCACUUCUGGAUCUAAAGCUAGAAAAAGAACUCUUGGGGAGGGACGUGAUACACUGAUGGACUAUUACCAAGCCGCCAAAUGUCCGUACAGUGAGCGACCGAUGACAGAACUUGAUCAGUACAUGCAGGAGCCAGGUCUCUCUGCAGAUGAGUCCAGUGUUCUCCAAUGGUGGAAGGAACAUAACCUGACUUAUCCUACAAUUGCUCGGAUGGCACGUGAUAUAUUGGCCGUGCCACUCAGUGUAGACUGCAGCGUAGCAAUAAAGACUGCGAGGCGCACAAUUUGCGAGUCUAGUAGCCUGUGGCGUGAAGAAGUUGUGUGUGUUCAGGACUGGCUCGGAUCAGAUGGUUCCUCGAGCGAGUGA
This 2070-nucleotide ribosomal RNA is filed under the name Triticum aestivum (bread wheat). Its description in RNAcentral is "partial small subunit ribosomal RNA". The record is from RNAcentral. Lineage: Eukaryota; Viridiplantae; Streptophyta; Magnoliopsida; Poales; Poaceae.